UUGACUGCGAGCGUGACGGCGCGAGCAGGUGCGAAAGCAGGUCAUAGUGAUCCGGUGGUUCUGAAUGGAAGGGCCAUCGCUCAACGGAUAAAAGGUACUCCGGGGAUAACAGGCUGAUACCGCCCAAGAGUUCAUAUCGACGGCGGUGUUUGGCACCUCGAUGUCGGCUCAUCACAUCCUGGGGCUGAAGUAGGUCCCAAGGGUAUGGCUGUUCGCCAUUUAAAGUGGUACGCGAGCUGGGUUUAGAACGUCGUGAGACAGUUCGGUCCCUAUCUGCCGUGGGCGCUGGAGAACUGAGGGGGGCUGCUCCUAGUACGAGAGGACCGGAGUGGACGCAUCACUGGUGUUCGGGUUGUCAUGCCAAUGGCACUGCCCGGUAGCUAAAUGCGGAAGAGAUAAGUGCUGAAAGCAUCUAAGCACGAAACUUGCCCCGAGAUGAGUUCUCCCUGAGACUUUAGGUCUCCUGAAGGAACGUUGAAGACGACGACGUUGAUAGGCCGGGUGUGUAAGCGCAGCGAUGCGUUGAGCUAACCGGUACUAAUGAACCGUGAGGCUUAACCUUACAACGCCGAAG
This 574-nucleotide ribosomal RNA is filed under the name Salmonella enterica subsp. enterica serovar Rubislaw str. SA20030553. Its description in RNAcentral is "bacterial LSU rRNA". It matches the Rfam family "Bacterial large subunit ribosomal RNA", at positions 2369 to 2925 of the family's 2925-position model. Lineage: Bacteria; Pseudomonadati; Pseudomonadota; Gammaproteobacteria; Enterobacterales; Enterobacteriaceae. The record is from RNAcentral.